ACGUAGGGUGCGAGCGUUAAUCGGAAUUACUGGGCGUAAAGCGUGCGCAGGCGGUUUUGUAAGUCAGAUGUGAAAUCCCCGGGCUCAACCUGGGGACGGCAUUUGAGACUGCAAGGCUAGAGUGUGGCAGAGGAGGGUGGAAUUCCACGUGUAGCAGUGAAAUGCGUAGAGAUGCGGAGGAAUACCGAUGGCGAAGGCAGCCCCCUGGACCAAUACUGACGCUCAUGCACGAAAGCGUGGGGAGCAAACAG
This 251-nucleotide ribosomal RNA is filed under the name uncultured prokaryote. Its description in RNAcentral is "partial 16S rRNA". It matches the Rfam family "Bacterial small subunit ribosomal RNA", at positions 525 to 775 of the family's 1533-position model. The record is from RNAcentral.